CGCCAACCAAUCAUUGCACCUGGUCGCGUGCGGUCCCAAGAAAAGAUUUUCCAAGUCAACACAGUAUCCUGUGGUUAUAAAUGAGGUACGAUGAAGCUGAUAUACCGUGCAAUCCAUGAUUGGACAGGCUUAGACAAGAUCUAGGGGGAGACAAACGACCGCUACACAAGACACGGAAAACACCAGCCAUCUUCUGCACAGGACCUUGUUAGUUUCUUUCUUAGUUUUGACCAACCAUGCUGGCCUUUUAGCGGUAAUUUUUGUUGUUCUGGCUUUUUAAAUAGGACUUGCAUUUUAAAUUUUAUUGGGAAAUCCAAGUCAGCAUUUGCAUUUCAACAGAAUAAAAAUAUCAUUAAAUAAAUCAAUGCUAGGCUC
Molecule: long non-coding RNA, 375 nt
Organism: Nematostella vectensis (starlet sea anemone)
Lineage: Eukaryota; Metazoa; Cnidaria; Anthozoa; Actiniaria; Edwardsiidae
Exons: 2
Source: RefSeq, a predicted model, not a curated record